This 263-nucleotide ribosomal RNA is filed under the name uncultured prokaryote. Its description in RNAcentral is "partial 16S ribosomal RNA". It matches the Rfam family "Bacterial small subunit ribosomal RNA", at positions 524 to 782 of the family's 1533-position model. The record is from RNAcentral.
UACGUAGUGGCAAGCGUUACUCCGGGAAUUACUUGGGCGUAAAGGAGCGCGCGAGGUGGUUGAUUAAGUCUGAUGUGAAAGCCCACGGCUUAACCGUGGAGGGUCAUUGGAAACUGGUCGACUUGAGUGCAGAAGAGGGAAGUGGAAUUCCAUGUGUAGCGGUGGAGUGCGUAGAGAUAUGGAGGAACACCAGUUGCGAAGGCGGCUCUCUGGACUGUAACUGACACUGAGGCACGAAAGCGUGGGGAGCAAACAGGAUUAGA